UACGGAGGGUGCGAGCGUUAAUCGGAAUGACUGGGCGUAAAGGGCACGCAGGCGGACUUGUAAGUGAGGUGUGAAAUCCCCGGGCUUAACCUGGGAAUUGCAUUUCAUACUGUGAGUCUAGAGUACUUUAGGGAGGGGUAGAAUUCCACGUGUAGCGGUGAAAUGCGUAGAGAUGUGUAGGAAUUCCGAAGGCGAAGGCAGCCCCUUGGGGAUGUACUGACGCUGAUGUGCGAAAGCGUGGGGAGCAAACAGG
Molecule: ribosomal RNA, 253 nt
Filed under: uncultured bacterium
Lineage: Bacteria
Description: partial 16S ribosomal RNA
Rfam family: Bacterial small subunit ribosomal RNA
Source: RNAcentral